GACGAACGCUGGCGGCGUGCUUAACACAUGCAAGUCGAACGGAAAGGCCCUGCUUUUGUGGGGUGCUCGAGUGGCGAACGGGUGAGUAACACGUGAGUAACCUGCCCUUGACUUUGGGAUAACUUCAGGAAACUGGGGCUAAUACCGGAUAGGAGCUCCUGCUGCAUGGUGGGGGUUGGAAAGUUUCGGCGGUUGGGGAUGGACUCGCGGCUUAUCAGCUUGUUGGUGGGGUAGUGGCUUACCAAGGCUUUGACGGGUAGCCGGCCUGAGAGGGUGACCGGCCACAUUGGGCCUGGGAUGCGGCCCGGACUCCUACGGGAGGCAGCAGUGGGGAAUAUUGCACAAUGGGCGGAAGCCUGAUGCAGCAACGCCGCGUGCGGGAUGACGGCCUUCGGGUUGUAAACCGCUUUCGCCUGUGACGAAGCGUGAGUGACGGUAAUGGGUAAAGAAGCACCGGCUAACUACGUG
Molecule: ribosomal RNA, 468 nt
Filed under: uncultured bacterium
Lineage: Bacteria
Description: partial 16S ribosomal RNA
Rfam family: Bacterial small subunit ribosomal RNA
Source: RNAcentral